This 220-nucleotide long non-coding RNA is filed under the name Fukomys damarensis (Damara mole-rat). RNAcentral describes it as "lncRNA (ENSFDAG00000024012.1)". The record is from RNAcentral. Lineage: Eukaryota; Metazoa; Chordata; Mammalia; Rodentia; Bathyergidae.
GGGAUUUAACUGCAUUCUAAACUAUUCUGUCAAUGCAUCCAUGAAAUAACAAGCAGAGCCUGUCUAUUGGACUGGAACUUCUGGAGACAAUCCACAGAACUGUGAGACAUCUGGGAUCUUUGGGUUCUCCUGGGAAUGUGAGCAGCCUGAGGAAGACUUGCUUUUGAGACAAACAGACGGUUCCUCCAUCUCUGGAACCAUGCCAAGAGGCUGUGCCUAA